AGAAAAGAGCUGUAUUCACAUGGGAUGCUGUUUUAGCUAAUGGGUCCUUUCUCUCUCUCUCUCCUCUUUCUGUCUCUUAAUUCAACCGACAAUUAUGAGCUUUGAAUCAUAAAGUUAAAAGAGUGGACUGAAGAAAAAAAAAGAAUAAUUCUUCUUCUUCUUCUGCCUUCUUUCUUCUUUCCCUUUUCUUGUUUUUUUUUUCCAAUUUUUUCUUUGAUUUGGAGCUGGGAAAUUAUGGCUGAUGAUAAGGAGAUGUCUGCUCCUGUUAUGGAUGUGAAUGGUGCAGUCACUGGUCAUAUAAUUUCCACUACUAUUGGAGGAAAAAAUGGCGAGCCAAAGCAGACAGUCAGUUACAUGGCUGAACGUGUUGUGGGGACUGGAUCAUUUGGAGUUGUUUUUCAGGCAAAAUGCCUGGAAAAUGGGGAGACGGUUGCAAUAAAGAAGGUUCUACAAGAUCGUAGAUACAAGAAUCGUGAACUGCAGUUGAUGCGCACUAUGGAUAACCCAAAUGUUGUUUCGUUAAAACAUUGCUUCUAUUCAACUACUAGUAAAAAUGACUUUUUCUCAAUUUGGUCAUGGAAUAUGUUCCGGAGACCAUGUAUCGCAUGUUGAAGCAUUACAGCAAUAUGAACCAAAGAAUGCCCCUCAUCUAUGUGAAGCUUUACACAUAUCAAGUAUUCAGAGGGCUGGCAUAUAUGCACACUGUUGCUGGCGUUUGCCACAGAGAUUUGAAACCUCAGAAUAUAUUGGUAGACCCUGUUACCCACCAAGUGAAAAUUUGUGAUUUUGGAAGUGCAAAAGUGCUGAUUAAAGGUGAAGCAAACAUCUCAUACAUCUGCUCACGGUUUUAUCGGGCUCCUGAACUCAUAUUUGGUGCAACAGAGUAUACGACCUCUAUUGACAUCUGGUCAGCUGGUUGUGUCCUUGCAGAGCUUCUCCUAGGCCAGCCAUUAUUUCCAGGAGAAAACGCUGUCGAUCAGCUUGUUGAAAUAAUCAAGGUACUUGGAACACCAACAAGGGAGGAAAUUCGUUGUAUGAAUCCAAAUUACACUGAUUUUCGGUUUCCACAAAUCAAAGCACACCCUUGGCAUAAGGUAUUUCACAAACGGAUGCCGCCUGAAGCUAUUGACCUUGCUUCACGUCUAUUGCAGUACUCACCUAGUCUUCGUUGCAAUGCACUUGAAGCAUGUGCUCAUCCUUUCUUUGAUGAGCUUCGAGAACCCAAUGCACGCCUUCCCCAUGGCCGGUCAUUGCCGCCUCUUUUCAAUUUUAAGCAGGAGUUGGCUGGUGCCUCUCCAGACCUCAUUAACAGGUUGAUACCAGAUCAUAUAAAAAAGCAAAUGGGACUGCAUCUUUUCACGACUCGCGAUGACAUGACGUGAAAGCACAUGUUUAGUGGAGUAUACCGGUUGAUGAUCUAUCUACAUCAAGAGAUCCGAGUUUAUAUUCUGCUCAACAGGUUCCACAUGACAAGCUGCAUCUCCUUGUCGACGAGAGGACAAAGUAAAGGGUUGCUGUGUAUUUUAAUCCUUGGUGGUGGUAUUGUCUUUUUUCAUUCCACUCUUCGAGUAUCUCUCUCUCUUCUCUUACCGGCCGACUAGUGUAAGGAAGGUUCUUUUUUUGUACAUGUUUGGUAGUAGUAAAUUGACCAGAAAGCUCCCACCAUCAUACAAAUGAAAUGUAUUUUUUUUAAAAUGAAUAGCAAAGGAAUUAAGGGGCUGUUUAAUUUCUUGUAAAAUUUGAUCUGUGUUCUGUUUGUAUUUAUUUUAUUUUAUUUUUACUCUCUGCUAACGUUUGUUACUUUUAUGAAAAGAGCUGCAAGGAAAUGAUGAUCACUGUAUGUGCUCAACAUUAGUGGAUUUUCUAUUUUAUUCCCUCUACUUUCUGGGCAAGUCUAUCAAAGUCGAGUGGAGAGGGGAUGUUUAUUUACGGUUGUUGUAGUAACACUUUUCAUUUCCUAUUCUGUCUUUCAAUAAGAAGUCAGACUUAAUUGA
Molecule: RNA transcript, 1994 nt
Organism: Solanum dulcamara
Lineage: Eukaryota; Viridiplantae; Streptophyta; Magnoliopsida; Solanales; Solanaceae
Gene name: shaggy-related protein kinase eta-like
Exons: 12
Source: RefSeq, a predicted model, not a curated record